CAUUAAUGUUUUACAGCUAACCUACUCUGCCAAGCACCCUAACAGGUGCAUUGGGAAAAUAAAGUAAAAAAAGACUUAAAAAAAAAUAAAUGAAAGCAUAGUAAAGACCUUAAACUAACACAGAAACGAACCACUAUUUUGAAAUCCCAUUUUCAUUUUUCUAUACCCAGACUUCUUUGUGCAUCAGUCGCAUAAGAGGCUAUUCUUCUAUGAAUUAGCACCUUCUGACUUUUUCGAUUCCAGUCUCCCUAUUUUUGAGUUCAUCGGAUCUAUCCUCCAUUGUUGCAUUCAGACUCAUCGCUAACAUUUCAUCCACCAUUUGUACUGAUUCUUUCACGAUUUACCAAGUCUUGCACUGCACACGGUACCUCCUCUAUCCAGUAUUGAGGACCGUCGAACUUCUUUCCUUCAAUCGCUAUUUCAUGCGCCACCGUAUUUGCUUCUUUUUGUACAUAUUGAAACUGUAUGCUACUAAAUCUGUAGGAUUUCUCCUUGAUUACAUGAAUAAUGCUUUUAAUACUUGAUCUGUCUUCUGUUGCAAGGGUUAGUUUUCUGAUGACCAUCAACGCAUCUCCUUCAACACAUAUUUCGCGAAAACCCAUUUCUUUUGCCAUGGUGAUAGCCUGUAAACAUGCCUUUGCUUUAGCCGUUGUUGGAUCUGUAAUAUUCUCCCAUGGAUAAGUACACGAUGCCAUAACCAAACCAUCUUUAUUACGCGUAACUAUACUUGACACUGAUGAAUAAUGGUUCUGAUUAUAGGACGUAUCAAAAUUGAUUUUUAUGAUAUCUCUCCUAGAUGGUUGCAACAAAAUAUUUUUUAUCUCGUUUUUGCUUUUCAUAACUCCUCAUAUGUGUGUUAAUUCUGCAUAAUAUGCGUUGAUAAAACCCACAGUAGCACACGCUAGCACCCUUUUGUCCUCAUGCAAUAUUCUGAUUCUGUUGUACAAAUAGCCGAUAAAUGUAUAGUUCGAAUUUCGCAUUCCUCAUCAGUGAGAUUUCCAAAUUCAGUCGCUAACCACUGUUUCCAACUUGUUUCACUCUUGCAUGUUGAAUUAAAAACUCCUAAUUCUUGGAGCACUUGUUGAGUGAAGUUACAAUCCCAAAAGAGAUGACUCACCGUCUCCUCUUCUUCUUGACACACUGGACAAGUCGUGUUUGCCACCAGUUUCAGAACUUUCAGAUUUUUCAAGACCGGCAUAAAUUCAUUAGCAACUUUCCAUAGAUGUAUUCUGAUCUUGUUUGGUACCUUUAUUUCUCAAAUUUUUUUGUAAAAUUUAGAUAGAAGAUUAGAUUGUAUGUUGGUACCCUCUGCUGUAUUCAGCCAACUAUAUCCAGUUUUAGCUGUAUAAUCUCCUGUAUUAUCUCCCCUCCAAGUUAUAACCUCUUGUGGUGCACUACUCGCCAGCAGGAUUGAGACUAUCUUUUGCAUUUGCUCAUCCCUAAAUAAUAAACGAUUUUCCUCUUGCUUCCAGCUCCCAGUAACCAGACAUCAUUCCAGAUAGUAACACUCUUCCCAUUCCCGAUUCUCCAGCCAAUCCUAUCCUCAAUAAGGUAUCUGGCACUCCAUAUGCUUCUUCAGGUGUAUGAAUGGUAAGAACCAAUAUUAGCACUCAUAAA
This is a long non-coding RNA of Gossypium arboreum, 1617 nucleotides long. RefSeq lists it as uncharacterized. The transcript has 2 exons. The record is from RefSeq and is a predicted model, not a curated record. Lineage: Eukaryota; Viridiplantae; Streptophyta; Magnoliopsida; Malvales; Malvaceae.